This 127-nucleotide small RNA is filed under the name Marmota monax (woodchuck). Lineage: Eukaryota; Metazoa; Chordata; Mammalia; Rodentia; Sciuridae. The record is from RNAcentral.
GCCAGGUGCAGUGGCACACACCUGUAAUCCAAGCAGCUUGGAAGGCUGAGAUAGGAGGAUCAUGAGUUCAAAGCCAGCCUCAGCAACUUAGGGAGGCCCUAAGCAACUCAGUGAGAUCCUGUCUCUA